AGAGUUUGAUCCUGGCUCACAACGAACGCUGGCGGCGUGCUUAACACAUGCAAGUCGAACGCGAAAGUUUUCUUCGGAAAACGAGUAGAGUGGCGCACGGGUGAGUAACGCGUAAGUAAUCUACCCUGGUAUCUGGGAUAACCCACCGAAAGGUGUGCUAAUACCGGAUACGUUGAUUUUUACACGCUGAUUUAUCAGGAAAGGUGGCCUCUUCAUGAAAGCUACUGUACCGGGAGGAGCUUGCGUACCAUUAGCUAGUUGGUGGGGUAAUGGCCUACCAAGGCGACGAUGGUUAGCGGGUCUGAGAGGAUGAUCCGCCACACUGGAACUGGAACACGGACCAGACUCCUACGGGAGGCAGCAGUGAGGAAUAUUGCGCAAUGGGGGAAACCCUGACGCAGCGACGCCGCGUGGAUGAUGAAGGCUUUCGGAUCGUAAAAUCCUGUCAGAUGGGAAGAAAUGCCAUUCAGUUAAUACCUGUUUGGUUUGACGGUACCAUCAAAGGAAGCACCGGCUAACUCCGUGCCAGCAGCCGCGGUAAUACGGAGGGUGCAAGCGUUGUUCGGAAUUACUGGGCGUAAAGCGCGCGUAGGCGGUUAUUUAAGUCAGAUGUGAAAGCCCAUGGCUCAACCAUGGACGUGCAUUUGAUACUGGAUAACUUGAGUACUGGAGGGGAUGGUGGAAUUCCCGGUGUAGAGGUGAAAUUCGUAGAUAUCGGGAGGAACAUCAGUGGCGAAGGCGACUUGCUGGUCUAAUACUGACGCUGAGGAGCGAAAGCGUGGGGAGCAAACGGGAGUAGAUACCCCGGUAGUCCACGCCGUAAACGAUGUCAACUAGCCGUUGGGGGUCUUAGACCCCUUUAGUGGCGCAGCUAACGCAUUAAGUUGACCGCCUGGGGAGUACGGUCGCAAGACUAAAACUCAAAGGAAUUGACGGGGGCCCGCACAAGCGGUGGAGCAUGUGGUUUAAUUCGAUGCAACGCGAAGAACCUUACCAGCUCUUGACAUCAUCGGAACUUUCUAGAGAUAGAUUGGUGCCUUCGGGAACCGAAUGACAGGUGCUGCAUGGCUGUCGUCAGCUCGUGUCGUGAGAUGUUGGGUUAAGUCCCGCAACGAGCGCAACCCCUGUCCUUAUUUGCCAGCACAUCAUGGUGGGAACUAUAAGGAGACUGCCGGUGAUAAACCGGAGGAAGGCGGGGACGACGUCAAGUCAUCAUGGCCCUUACGACCAGGGCUACACACGUGCUACAAUGGGAAGAACAAAGGGUCGCUAAGCCGCGAGGUGGUGCUAAUCUCAUAAAUCUUUUCGUAGUCCGGAUCGGAGUCUGCAACUCGACUCCGUGAAGUCGGAAUCGCUAGUAAUCGUGGAUCAGAACGCCACGGUGAAUACGUUCCCGGGUCUUGUACACACCGCCCGUCAUACCAUGGGAGUGGGUUGCACCAGAAGUAGCUAGUCUAACUGCUUGCAGAGGACGGUUACCACGGUGUGAUUCAUGACUGGGGUAAAGUCGUAACAAGGUAGCC
RNAcentral lists this ribosomal RNA (1523 nucleotides) under uncultured prokaryote. RNAcentral describes it as "partial 16S ribosomal RNA". It matches the Rfam family "Bacterial small subunit ribosomal RNA". The record is from RNAcentral.